This 5952-nucleotide long non-coding RNA is filed under the name Xyrichtys novacula (pearly razorfish). The record is from RNAcentral. Lineage: Eukaryota; Metazoa; Chordata; Actinopteri; Labriformes; Labridae.
UGCUGCCACAUGGUCUGAACAGAGGUAAUGAAACCUGGUUCAUCAUAUUUGACUUUUUAUUUUGAGUUCUGACCUUUUAUCAGUUUGCUGAAUUGUGUUUAUUCUUUUAGUUUUGCGCCUUUCCCUGUCUGUUGGCGUCCUCCGAUACAAGUAAUGUUAAGUGGGUUGGAGGAAACCUGGAUAAAUGUACCUAAACAGACACGAUCAGCUGCUUUUUUGUCUUUUAGAUUUUCUUUGGUUUAUUUUGUUUGUUUUUUGUCAGCAUUUUAGUCCUUGAUUUUAAUGAAAGAGCCAUUUUUGCAGAACAAACUUUUUUAUAUAAUAGUUUUAAUCAUUUCUUUGUGUAACCUUUUCUUUCUCAUCCCCAUACAACUCAGUGGAGGUUAGACACGUAGACUGCCUCCCUCUUGUUAGCUCCCCUUCCCUUUUGUUAGUUUUAACUGUCCUGAAGUGUUUUAGUGAUUAAUUGUUUAAAAAGAAUCAUUAGUAAUAAACUUUUCUAACCAAUUAAUUCAAUAACAGACUCAAACAUUCAUCACUAACUCAUUUGUUUUUUUUCAGCAGACACUUCCACUAUUCCAACUAUUUUUUCAUCUAAUAUUAUGAAUAUAUUUUGGUUUGCUUCGAUUCACGUAUCCGUCUCGUAGAAUUUCUCGAAUCUGUGUUCGCCUUUUAAUAGUUGAAACUGGGUAAUUCCUUGGGUAAAAGUCCCUAGGUGGCUGUUGUCUGAAAAUGGCCCUUAUCCCACACAGCCAUACAUGCAGCUGUAGGCCUGUCGCGAUAAUCAAUAAAUCGCCUUAUCGCUCGAUAAAUAAAAACGAGGUCGAUAACUUUGCCAGCCUCGAUAAUUAACGUGCGUUUGUUUUCCUCCUCUCUCGCUACCAAACACGCUGGAUGAGAGAAGAGGUCUCACUCUGCGCAUUGUUCUCGGCACCUGGGGGCGUUGGCUCUAUAGAGGAAUGAACGGAGUUAGUGAACCCUCCUGUCAGUCAUUCAGUGUCUUUGUCACGAGGGGGCUGGCGCGCACAGGCACACAGACACAGACUUUUGGAUACAGUGCUGCAAGUGAGCGUCGUGAGUGAAAAGCAAGCAAACAGAAUGAACACGACAGCUUUGGUGUCUAAACCGAACGCAACAGCCCAAGUGUGGGAAUAUAUCGGCUUUAAACCAGUUUUGUUUUCGUCAACCACAAAACUCCACGUGUGUGUGUGCGCGCGCGUGCAUGUGUGUCUGUGUGUUGGAGGAGCACAGCAGGCUGAUGAGAGCUGUCAGAGCGGACUGAAGCUGCUCCUAUAUGUUUAGCGUUUAACUGACUGAGUUUUGCAACUCUGUUCGUCAUUUUCGUCUCGUCCCAUCAACGUAAACGCACUUUCGUCUCGUCACAUUUUAGUCAUCUCCGACUUAUGUUUAGCUCGUCAACGUUACGUCUUCGUCGUGGGAGAAAAGGGAAAUAUUUUAGUCAACGAAAACAACCAGUGUUGUUCUCGUGUGGAAAUUAAAGUUUAUCACUUUUGACAGGGUGUACUCGCAUUAUUAUGCCAUAUGAUAUCAUUAUCUAUAAUUUAAAAAAUGGUGUCAAUAAUAUCGUUUAUCGGCAAUAAUUUGUAGCACAAUUAUCGUCCAGCAAAAUUUGUUAUCGUGACAGGCCUAUGCAGCUGCCAUGUGUGUUUAUACUGGUGAUGGUCUGGAUCCACACCCGGGCCCAUGCCACCUGUGACCACCCCUUUGGCUCUGCCCCUGUUUUAACUUUCCCUGGUAUAAAACUCUUGGUUAUUAGAAGCUAUUAGAAACGUAUUCCCUCUCAAAGUCACCUACUACCUGCUAGGGCUGGGUGAUAAACCGAAAAUUUACAGAUAUCUAAAUUUAUGACAAUUACCAACAUCAUUUUGCCCAUAUCGGUAUAUUCCAUGUCAAAUAAAUGAGUAAAAGUUGUUCUUGGAUGUGUGUAGGUAGGCUAUGGUCUCGUGUCCCUUUAAGACGCUGUCAGAGACGUGACUCCACCCCAUCCAGUCCGUAAUCCGGAGUCCGGACGGUUCAAAAGUUGUAGCGGCUGAAGUAGACGAAGUUAAUGUGGGAGGGGGUGAGCAGCUUGUGGAGUAGUUAUCGUCCAUUUAUCAUUAUCCUGGUAAAUUACUCGAUAUAUCAUAUUGAUUUGAGCCUAUAUUGCUCAGCCCUACUACCCACCUACCUAAAUUAACCGUCACUCCCACAGUUUGCACUUCCACAUCUCAGUUUUUACCGUGACUCUUUCAGAUUCCUGCUCUGUUUUUCAGACAGACUUUUCUUUUACCUCUGGUCAGUGUUGGAGUCAAAGGUCUUGUGUCUUUUGGUGGGAAGAAAACAUCAAGAGGAACAGCUGGCGGAGAGAGCCUGAGGUGAACUUUCAGCAGCGAGGUCACGACCCGGUCGAGGCGCCACACAGAGAGGAGGAAACAACCCGCUGCCUCAGCUCUGGAUGUUUAACGCCGACUGUGUCGGUAUUUCUUUGGUAACAUGUCAAACUUUAACCUGUAACUUUGGAAAGUUUCACUCAAAUUUAGACUUUUCUGUUCGAUUUUUAAAACUUUUCUUCUUCCAGCCAAGGAAGGGUUAUUUUCAGAGUGGAGAGCUUAAAUUAAAGCUCAGGGGGUUUCAUUUCCAGGUAACUAAAUUACUUCUUCUGACCGAGCUCCUCUGGCAGACACAAAGCAAUUACAAACUGCAACAUAGUCGGACUUUGGCAGCGUUAAGAAAUGAGAGUAAGGUGUGUCUGGUUUGACUGACAGGUGGGUGGUUGUUGGUUCCUAGAUUCGUCAGGGUCAGUGUUUCCAUCAGAUAAAGACCUUCUCAUAAACCGCCGUGUGAUGUUUCCUCAGGCUACAUCCAUGAGAACAACAACGCUCAUUCAAGAGAAAGUUUCAGGGAUCUUCGAGUGCCGAAGUGUUCAGAGCCACAAUGAGGCUUUCAGAAACAUGACAAAACAACUCGCUGAUGCCUUUAUUUUUCCUGCUUUUCAGAUUUCGGUCCUUGACUUUCAUUGAGUAAGACUCAAUGUUAUAAAGAGCCGUGAGCUGCCUGCACAACAACAAAGGCACCAAAGUGUUGAUACUUAAGUAUAUCCUCAUCUCUACAGACUCUGAAUAAUGCUUUUGUUCCUGUUUGUACCGCUAAAGUGAUCUGAAAGCAAAAAAACUGUUUUUUUUCCAACAAAAAUGUUCAUUUUUUAAAUAUUUUUUUCGUUAAUUUGACAACACAGCCCCCAGAGUUUAAGAAGUCUUUAUCAUGGUAAGAAUUGGUGAAUAUUAUCCUUAUGAAAAAAAAACAAAGGAUGAAAACCUUUGGAGCAAACCUGAGGAAAGAUAUUUAGAAGCUUUUGCAAGAUCCUGCAACCCAAUUUUCAGGUCACACGUACCAGAAAUAUAGGCGCAGAUAUACAGACUGGAUUAUUUUAAUGUAGUAUUAAUUUUUAAGUGUUGUCCUGUGACCAAAAUUCACUUUUUUUGGUGUAAUAGCCCUUUUCAUUUUUCCACUCCUGCUCACAAUGUCCCGAGGUUUCUUCAGGUGUCGAGUAAACGCACACCCUGCUUUUAAAAAAUCAACUAAAACCCUCAACAAUUCAGACUAAAAAACAACAGAUAUAUAAUUUAAAAUCCACUUUAGGUAAAGCAGUUGCAGAGUUUGUUAAAGCUUUGAGAGAGAAAAAGCAUUAAAACGCUCAUUUCUGAAGUUACUCCAGGAUUGAGGCGUAAAAUCAGAGGAGGCUGCUCUUUCAUGUUUUGAAUAACACGGUUUUCUUCUAUCGCACCACUUUAUGUCUCCGUGUUUUGACCAAAUUAUGCCAAAGGAAGAGCAAUAACCGGCAUUAGCAUACCAGCCUCGUCUCUGUUUCCCAAACACAAACAGCAAGAACAGCGAGCCCCCCGAUGAGAGAGGAUCAAAUUUACAUGUUUUUACUCUAAUCAAUACAGCAGGUAAACAACCCGGUGCAGGUCGGGUGAUCUACGCCCACUUUGACCUCCAUCUGCAUGAUGCUGGAUGGAAAAUUCAUCAAAUGCACAGACAGUCUGAGUGAACCCUGCAGUGUGAGGAGGUUAAUGAACUCAUGUGAGGACUGAUUUUUACUUUCAGACAGGAGCGGAGCGGUCAAACGUUGUUCUGGUGCAGAAAAUGAUCAUUAAGAGAAAACCUGCUCAUCAUGUAACCAGCUGACGACGACAGCAGACCAGUGUAUUAAAGGAGGAAAUGAGCUUCAGGUCACAUGUUAGGACACCUUCUUAGCUGUGAGAUGUUGGAAAGUUUUUGCUUUGAUUAAGUUUCAUGACUUUCUUAAACUUUAAUCCACGCUGUAGUCGGCGGCUCACAGAAAAAACUAAUGAAAAACAGCUGAAUGCAGACUGCUCUUAUUAAACAUAAUUAGAAAAACUAAGUGAUUUAUGUAACAGGUAUUAACAGCUGUUGGUUUAUAAUAUUGUACUAAUUUGAUGUAUUUGUUGGCGCAGUUUAGCAUCUGCAGCACUCGAGUCUACGAUGAAUUUCCCUAAGGGGACGAUAAAGUGUAUUUUAUAAUAUGGUAUUAAAUUGAACCUAAUUAAAUCGAAUUGAAUCAUACUGUACCAGAUCAAAUCAUAUCAUAACGUAAUGUAACAUUUUAUAACAUAUCAGAAUCAUAUUAUGUAUCGCAUCGUAUCUCAUUGUAAGGUAACGUACCGUAUUGUAUCAUAAGCUAUCUUGUCAUAUUGGACUGUAUCGUAUUGUAAUGUAUAGUAGCAACAACAUAUUGUAUCUCAACGUAAUUAUUGUAUCGUAACGUAACGUAACAUACCAUAUUGGUAUCAUAAGGUAAUGUAACAUCUUUUAUCCUAUUGUAUUGUAACAUAUUGUAACGUAACAUAACGUGACAUAACCUACCGUAUUGAUAUCAUAAGGUAAUGUAACAUCUCUUAUUGUAUUGUAUUGUAACAUAUCGUAUUGUACCGUGUUGUAUCGUAAGCUAUCGUGUCAGAUCCGAAUGUAUUGUAUCAUAAGGUAUCGUAUCGUAAUAUGUGGUAUCAGCAACAAAUUGAAUCCCAACAUAAUGCAUUAUAUCAUAAGGUAACAUAUCGUAUUGAAUGGUAUCGUAAGGUAAUGUAACAUCUUGUAUCAUAUUGUAUUGUAACAUAACGUACCGUUCCGUGCUGGAUCAUUAUGUAAAGAAUCUUGUCGUAAGGUGUGGUAGUGUUUUGUGUAAAAUGUAAUUGUGACAUACCGAAAUGUAUCACACUGUAUCGUAUUGUAUCAUAUCCUAUCACACUGUAUCAUAUCACACUGUAUCGUAUCGUAUUGUAUCACACUAUAUCGUAUUGUAUUGUAUCACACUGUAUCGUAUUGUAUUGUAUCGUAUCAUACUAUAUUGUAUCGUAUCAAACUAUCGUAACGUAUCAAACUGUAUCCUAUCGUAUCACACUAUAUUGUAUCGUAUCACACUAUAUUGUAUCGUAUCAUACUAUAUUGUAUCGUACCAUAUCAUAUUAAAAAAACUCAGAGAUCAGCUGCCCUUCUGUGAUCACUUGGUUGCCAAGAUUAUCACAGCAUCGAAGUCGUUAGCUUUAAUAAUCGUUAUAAUAAUAAAACAUUUUAUUCAUAGGUGCCUUUCAAAGCACUCAAGGUUACCUCACAAGACAAACAAAUAUAUAGUCCACAAAAUAAGUUGAAACAAUGGACAGUUAAAGUGAUAGUUUUUUUUUUUUCAUAAGUUUCAAAAAGAUCAAUCCCACCCGCUGUCCACUGAUUAUUAUAAAAAAAACAUGAUUCUGGCUUUAAGGGACGGUUAAUUCCACUUUCUCUUGUGCUGAUGCCUAUACUGGAUUUGUUUAGCCCCAGUAUAAGUAAAGAUUUUAGAAAACCAAACAAAGCAACAAGUCCUCUUACUUUUACAGCUCUGUACAUCCUCCGUUCCUCUUGUAGCGUUUCUUAUAUAACCAUCCCAACCGCAAC